Molecule: ribosomal RNA, 576 nt
Filed under: Gastrotheca zeugocystis
Lineage: Eukaryota; Metazoa; Chordata; Amphibia; Anura; Hemiphractidae
Description: partial 16S ribosomal RNA
Rfam family: Bacterial large subunit ribosomal RNA
Source: RNAcentral
AAACAUCGCCUCUUGAAAAACAUAAGAGGUCCAGCCUGCCCAGUGACACUGUUCAACGGCCGCGGUACCCUAACCGUGCGAAGGUAGCGUAAUCACUUGUCCUUUAAAUGGGGACUAGUAUGAAUGGCACCACGAGGGUUAUACUGUCUCCCCUUUCUAAUCAAUGAAACUAAUCUCCCCGUGAAGAAGCGGGGAUAUUUCUAUAAGACGAGAAGACCCUAUGGAGCUUUAAACGAAACAACAACUGCUUUAAUCUUAACAAUUUCAGAAAAUUAACCCGUACUUUAGCCCAAUGAUUGUUAGUUUUUGGUUGGGGUGACCGCGGAGUAGAAAAUAACCUCCACAUUGAAAGGGGGGGCACCCCCCUUAGCAAAAAACCACAGCUUUAUGCAUCAAUAAAUUGACAUUAAUUGACCCAAUAUUUUGAUCAACGAAACAAGUUACCCUAGGGAUAACAGCGCAAUCCGCUUCAAGAGCCCUUAUCGACAAGCGGGUUUACGACCUCGAUGUUGGAUCAGGGUAUCCCAGUGGUGCAGCCGCUACUAACGGUUCGUUUGUUCAACGAUUAAAACCCUA